CAGUAGCCACGGUAAUACGGAGGGAGCUAGCGUUAUUCGGAAUUACUGGGCGUAAAGCGCACGUAGGCGGCUUUGUAGGUUAGAGGUGAAAGCCUGGAGCUCAACUCCAGAAUUGCCUUUAAGACUGCAUCGCUUGAAUCCAGGAGAGGUGAGUGGAAUUCCGAGUGUAGAGGUGAAAUUCGUAGAUAUUCGGAAGAACACCAGUGGCGAAGGCGGCUCACUGGACUGGUAUUGACGCUGAGGUGCGAAAGCGUGGGGAGCAAACAGGAUUAGAUACCCCAGUAGUCCCUGUCUCUUAUAU
Molecule: ribosomal RNA, 301 nt
Filed under: uncultured bacterium
Lineage: Bacteria
Description: partial 16S ribosomal RNA
Rfam family: Bacterial small subunit ribosomal RNA
Source: RNAcentral